Molecule: ribosomal RNA, 668 nt
Filed under: uncultured bacterium
Lineage: Bacteria
Description: bacterial SSU rRNA
Rfam family: Bacterial small subunit ribosomal RNA
Source: RNAcentral
AGAUUGAACGCUGGCGGCAUGCCUAACACAUGCAAGUCGAACGGCACCACAGCACGGGGCAACCCGUGUGGGUGGCGAGUGGCGGACGGGUGAGUAAUGCAUGGGAAUCUACCCAGUAGCGGGGGACAACCCGGAGAAAUCCGGGCUAAUACCGCAUACGCCCUAAGGGGGAAAGCGGGGGACCGAAAGGCCUCGCACUAUUGGAUGAGCCCAUGUCGGAUUAGCUAGUUGGUAGGGUAACGGCCUACCAAGGCGACAAUCCGUAGCUGGUCUGAGAGGACGAUCAGCCACACCGGAACUGAGACACGGUCCGGACUCCUACGGGAGGCAGCAGUGGGGAAUAUUGGACAAUGGGGGCAACCCUGAUCCAGCAAUGCCGCGUGUGUGAAGAAGGCCUGCGGGUUGUAAAGCACUUUCAGUGGGGACAAAAAGCGCCGUGGUAAUACCGCGGCUUUUGAUUUAACCCAUAGAAGAAGCACCGGCUAACUCUGUGCCAGCAGCCGCGGUAAUACAGAGGGUGCGAGCGUUAAUCGGAAUUACUGGGCGUAAAGCGCACGUAGGCGGCGUGAUAAGUUGGAUGUGAAAUCCCCGAGCUUAACUUGGGGAUUGCAUUCAAGACUGUCACGCUAGAGUCUGGGAGAGAGAAAUGGAAUUCCAGGUGUAGCGGU